CCUACGGGAGGCAGCAGUGGGGAAUUUUGCGCAAUGGGGGAAACCCUGACGCAGCAACGCCGCGUGAGUGAUGAAGGCUCUUGGGUCGUAAAGCUCUGACAGAGGGAAAGAAAUGUGGGUGGCUAAUAUCCAUACCACUUGACGGUACUCUCAAAGGAAGCACCGGCUAACUCCGUGCCAGCAGCCGCGGUAAU
Molecule: ribosomal RNA, 194 nt
Filed under: uncultured delta proteobacterium
Lineage: Bacteria; Deltaproteobacteria
Description: partial 16S ribosomal RNA
Rfam family: Bacterial small subunit ribosomal RNA
Source: RNAcentral